AGCGAACGCUGGCGGCAGGCCUAACACAUGCAAGUCGAACGCCCCUUCGGGGGAGUGGCGGACGGGUGCGUAACGCGUGGGAAUGUGCCCUUUGGUACGGAACAACUGAGGGAAACUUCAGCUAAUACCGUAUGUGCCCUACGGGGAAAAGAUUUAUCGCCAUUGGAGCAGCCCGCGUUGGAUUAGGUAGUUGGUGGGGUAAUGGCCCACCAAGCCGACGAUCCAUAGCUGGUCUGAGAGGAUGAUCAGCCACACUGGGACUGAGACACGGCCCAGACUCCUACGGGAAGCAGCAGUGGGGAAUCUUGCGCAAUGGGCGAAAGCCUGACGCAGCCAUGCCGCGUGAAUGAUGAAGGUCUUAGGAUUGUAAAAUUCUUUCACCGGGGAAGAUAAUGACGGUACCCGGAGAAGAAGCCCCGGCUAACUUCGUG
RNAcentral lists this ribosomal RNA (431 nucleotides) under uncultured bacterium. RNAcentral's name for it is "partial 16S ribosomal RNA". It matches the Rfam family "Bacterial small subunit ribosomal RNA", at positions 29 to 507 of the family's 1533-position model. The record is from RNAcentral.